UAGGGAUGAAGUAUAAAGUACAUUUUAGUUACAUUAAAAAAGACUCAGUUAGAGCGUCCUUAU
Molecule: transfer RNA, 63 nt
Filed under: Lactiforis takii
Lineage: Eukaryota; Metazoa; Mollusca; Gastropoda; Amphibolidae
Description: tRNA-Val
Source: RNAcentral